AGAAGCAAAGGAAAUAAUUUUAGCACAGUUAUCUUGAACUACCAUGUGUAUACAUAUGAUAGAAAACUCUGAUAUAGUACAGGAUGGAGCCACUUUCCCCGGGCAAUAGAACAUCAAAAUCCCUGUCUUCUCUUGCCAUGCUAGUCAGCAUGGCUCAUCCUGGAACAUUCCUUACUCAUCCUUCAAGGUACAAGUCAAGAAUCCCUCUUUCAGAAAGUCUUACCUGGUCUCUCCACAUAAAUGUCUUUCCUUAAUCAUAUUGAGCUGUAUGUUACUGGACAGUGACUUGUCCUACAAACCUCGAUUUCUUUAUACACCUUACCAUCUACAAUGUCUAGAAAGAGAAAUUACUUUGAAUUGAGUUAUUUUAACACCUUUACUGAACUAUAAUUAGCAUGCAAUAAACUGCAUGUAUUUAAAGUAUACAGUUUGGUAAGUUUUGACAUAUACAUAUGCUACCUAUAAAAUCUUCAACACUAUCAAAAUAAUGAACACUAUCAAAAUAUCCACCACAGUUUAUCUAUUCAUUUGUUGAUGGACAUUUAGGUUGUUUCAAAUUGUUGGCUAUUAAAAAUAAAGGUGACAUGAACCAGGCAUGGUGGCACACACCUGUAAUCCCAGCGGCUCUGGAGUCUGAGGCAGGAAGAUCACGAGUUCAAAGCCAGCCUCAGCAGCAGUGAGGUGCUAAGCAACUCAGUGAGACCUUGUCUCUAAAUAAAAUACAAAAUAGAGCUGGGGAUGGUGGUUGAGUGCCACUGAGUUAAACCCUCAGUACCCUCCAAUAAAUAAAUAAACAAAUUAAUUAACUAAUUAAUUAAUUAAAGCUGACAUGAACAUUCAUGUACAAAUCUUUGUCUAGACAGGUACUUUUUUCUUCAGGGAUGAAUAUCUAGAAGUGGAAUGAUUGGAUCAUGUGGUAGAUAUUUCCUUAACUUUUUAAGAAACCAUCUAUUCUGGCUUUCCAUUAUGGUAACAAAAUACCUAAGACAAUCAACUUAUACAGAGGAAAGGUUUACUUUGGCUUAUACUUUUGGAGUUUCAGUCCAUGAUCAGGUAGGCCCAUUGCUUUUGGGACCCAUGGAAGGGCAGCACAUCAUGGCUGUAGCAUGUAGUGGAGCGAAACCAUUUACUUUAUGGCCAGCACAUGAAAAAGAGAGGAUGAGAAGGGUUGAGGUCCCAGCAUCCCCAACAGAGGCUUACUUUCCUCUAGGCCCCAUAUUCUAACAGUACCACGGACUGGGGAAAAAGCCUUCAUCACAGGGACCAUUGGGACAUUUCAUUAAUCAUAUUGAGCUGUAU
Molecule: long non-coding RNA, 1299 nt
Filed under: Marmota monax (woodchuck)
Lineage: Eukaryota; Metazoa; Chordata; Mammalia; Rodentia; Sciuridae
Source: RNAcentral